This is a non-coding RNA of Schistosoma haematobium, 46 nucleotides long. NCBI's taxonomy places the organism in Eukaryota, Metazoa, Platyhelminthes, Trematoda, Strigeidida, Schistosomatidae. The record is from Rfam.
GCACUGCUGAAGAGUCCUACAACAUGACGAAACGGUCGUUCAGUGC